This 356-nucleotide ribosomal RNA is filed under the name uncultured bacterium. RNAcentral's name for it is "bacterial SSU rRNA". It matches the Rfam family "Bacterial small subunit ribosomal RNA", at positions 32 to 359 of the family's 1533-position model. The record is from RNAcentral.
AAUCAACGCUGGCGGCGUGCCUCAGACAUGCAAGUCGAACGCGAAAUUUCCCUUCGGGGGAGAAAGUAGAGUGGCGCACGGGUGAGUAACACGUAGGUAAUUUGCCUUUGGGUGGGGAAUAACUCAGGGAAACUUGAGCUAAUACCGCAUAAUGCAGCGGCUCGACAUCGAGACAGUUGUUAAAGCGGGGGAUUGGAGCAAUCCGACCUCGCGCCUAAAGAGAAGCCUGCGGCAGAUUAGCUAGUUGGUAAGGUAAUGGCUUACCAAGGCGACGAUCUGUAACCGGCCUGAGAGGGCGGGUCGGUCACACUGACACUGACAUACGGGUCAGACUCCUACGGGAGGCAGCAGUCGGG